UGCAUUGCAGUUUCUUCCAUUAUUAGCAACUUGAUGGAGACAUACUUCUUUUUCAUAAUGUGAUCAUCCUAGCUAAAGCUACCAGGGUGCCUUCCCUAAGAGAGGAACGUCACAUUUUUGGUAUCUUUUCUCAUUGUCAGUGGUGGCUUUGUUUAAAUGAAACUGUCAAGGCUUUGAAACUCACACCAGCUUAUCUAAUAUGAGUACCUGCAGUUAAUGAACUCGAGCUAAAGGAAACCAAUUAAACAUAUUUAAAAAUUA
Molecule: long non-coding RNA, 261 nt
Organism: Carassius carassius (crucian carp)
Lineage: Eukaryota; Metazoa; Chordata; Actinopteri; Cypriniformes; Cyprinidae
Exons: 2
Source: RefSeq, a predicted model, not a curated record